GUACGAGAGGACCGGAGUGGACGCAUCACUGGUGUUCGGGUUGUCAUGCCAAUGGCACUGCCCGGUAGCUAAAUGCGGAAGAGAUAAGUGCUGAAAGCAUCUAAGCAAGAAACUUGCCCCGAGAUGAGUUCUACCUGACUCCUUGAGAGUCCUGAAGGAACGUUGAAGACGACGACGUUGAUAGGCCGGGUGUGUAAGCGCAGCGAUGCGUUGAGCUAACCGGUACUAAUGAACCGUGAGGCUUAACCUUACAACGCCGAAGGUGUUU
Molecule: ribosomal RNA, 268 nt
Filed under: Escherichia coli O156:H25 str. 2011C-3602
Lineage: Bacteria; Pseudomonadati; Pseudomonadota; Gammaproteobacteria; Enterobacterales; Enterobacteriaceae
Description: partial 23S ribosomal RNA
Rfam family: Bacterial large subunit ribosomal RNA
Source: RNAcentral